RNAcentral lists this unclassified non-coding RNA (224 nucleotides) under Goffeauzyma gastrica. RNAcentral's name for it is "partial internal transcribed spacer region". The stretch from base 1 to 46 matches the Rfam family "Eukaryotic small subunit ribosomal RNA", at positions 1786 to 1831 of the family's 1831-position model. Lineage: Eukaryota; Fungi; Basidiomycota; Tremellomycetes; Filobasidiales; Filobasidiaceae. RNAcentral also lists the same sequence under 3 other names. The record is from RNAcentral.
AAGUCGUAACAAGGUUUCCGUAGGUGAACCUGCGGAAGGAUCAUUAAUGAAUUCUGAGUAGGCUCUGCCUCUCACCCUUCAUAUCCAUAAACACCUGUGCACAGUCGGACCCUUGAGUCUUUCGGGACUCCCGGUGUCUUGACGAUCUUAUCAAACAACAAUGUAACCAAUGUAAUCAUUAUUAUAACAUAAUAAAACUUUUAACAACGGAUCUCUUGGCUCUC